UGGGAAAAGCUCAACUUUGAAAUCUGGCACCUUCGGUGUCCGAGUUGUAGUCUCUAGAAGUGUCUUCCGUGCUGGCCCAUGUGUGAGUCUGUUGGAACACAGCGUCAUAGAGGGUGACAACCCCGUUCAUAACAUGGACCCCAGUGCUUUGUGAUACACUCUCGACGAGUCGAGUUGUUUGGGAAUGCAGCUCAAAUUGGGUGGUAAAUUCCAUCUAAAGCUAAAUAUUGGCGAGAGACCGAUAGCAAACAAGUACCGUGAGGGAAAGAUGAAAAGCACUUUGGAAAGAGAGUUAACAGUACGUGAAAUUGUUGAAAGGGAAACGAUUGAAGUCAGACGUGCGUGGUGCGGUUCAGCUCUGGUUCGCCAGAGUGUAUUCCGUGCCUUUGCAGGCCAACAUCGGUUUCACGAGGCGGAUAAAGGCUUGAGAAAUGUGGCACCUUCGGGUGUGUUAUAGUCUCUUGCUGAAUACGCCUCGAGGGACCGAGGAACGCAGCGCGCCGCAA
This 506-nucleotide ribosomal RNA is filed under the name Occultifur sp. UFMG-CM-Y376. RNAcentral's name for it is "eukaryotic LSU rRNA". It matches the Rfam family "Eukaryotic large subunit ribosomal RNA", at positions 99 to 608 of the family's 3401-position model. The record is from RNAcentral. Lineage: Eukaryota; Fungi; Basidiomycota; Cystobasidiomycetes; Cystobasidiales; Microsporomycetaceae.